CCGAGGAACUCUGAUCUAGAGUGUAGUUAGAAUAAAGUAGAUCAGGAAACGAAUCUGAGUUUAGAUUGGAAUUCGAUAUAAUUAGCGAUUCCAAUGAUCUAUUAGCAACGGCACAGUUGUAAUUAAUUAAUCGCUGCCACUGAAAUCGGCAACCCGGCCGUUCUUUUGACGUAAUUAAGAAAACUCGUUAUCUUGUUCGUGGUAGGAGGAAGAGCCAUUUAUCUCGUUGUUUACUAAACACCGUGUCUCGGGUUCAUAGAAUCGUCGAACGAAGUUUACAAACUCGCCAGCGACCCAGUCUUCUAGAUAUUUAAAUAAAUACACAAAAUCACUGCGUGCCUCUCUUUUUUUAUUUUUGUUUCGUUCAGGCAUAGUAAACCAUAGUAAACCAUCUUCAUUCAUGAGCGGGCGUAGAUUACAUACAAUAUUACAUACAAUAUUACAUUCGAUAAAAUAACUAUCUUAUUUUCCAACUGUGACAACUAUUCUUUCAAUGAUGAAUUCCUUUAUGGAAAAUUCGUAUGGGGAAGUUUAAUGGCAAACUGUGGGACGUACUGCCGACAGAACCGGUACAAUUACAUCGAACUAACAAAAUCUUGUUUUGUUCUCGGCCGAGGAAUCGUCGAACUAGUUUUCGCAAAGAACAUCGAGCAGCUACCCUUAUUGGACCACAAUGUUGGAUAUCAAGAAUCGCAAACCCACGACAAAGAAGAGACCUUCCAAGUCUGAAAGCUCCGAAGAACAUACCUGUUUAAAGUUGGUUCCUAGGAGGAUCUUCCCUCGGUCCCAGCAGGAUGAAUCGUAAAACAGCACUUUCCUCGCAGAACAUAAGAAAACCGUCGCUCUUCAAGAUCCACCGAUCUCUUCGAUUCCUCCACUCGAAUCAACAGAGGCUCUCAGCAACUUGGAACUCGAGUCACGAAAGAACGUAGAGAGAGGGUAUCAGAAUCACUCGGGGGUCUGUAUAUCACAGUAACGGCUUUAUCUUUGACUCUAGGACAUCGGUGAUCGGUGAUCGAUUCGGUUUUCGCGAAGAACGAGCAGUGACUUCGGGUACACGCGUCGGCAGAGGAAAGCCAGCCAAGAUUGAGACUGAUUGAGACUGUUCCGAGUCAGCUAGCGAGCGGAUUCGAAACGGGUGGAGGCGCGCGGAGGCGGAGUUACGCUGCUCGAGAGAGCCGGCCAACUUAUCGACGCCCUCCUACUCUUCUGGUUCGCGCUCUCCACUGGCUCUCCGCCUCUUCUACCUCUCGACCGAAAGCUGCCCGACCGAAUCCUCUCGAUCAUGUCCCCGAGCCAGCGACCAGCGUGGACCUGCUCUUGCCAGAUCCGAUCCAAGCAGAUUUAGAAGCCUGGACCAAGAGUCUUGGCUUCUGAAAAGUCAGAACAUUUCUGACUCAUCGGGAACUUACAACCCUUUACUAGGAUUUAGGGAUCAUGAUCGAAACACUUUUGGUUCAUCAGGGAAGCCUUACAAUAGGCGAUGAGAACCUAGGAUACUAGAAUUCAAGGUGAUCGGAAUUGAUGCGAACAUAGGACAUGGCCAGGACAGAGCAGAAAAAUCUGGGACUGCGAGAGCUUGUUUUGUGGGUCAGUCGAUCGUCGCGCGUCGUGCCAGCAUAAAAUGACUGCCGUAAGCGUCGGGAUUAUGUAAGCGGGCUCAGGUGACCAUUGAGAAAUCAUUAGGCAACGAUUAUUCUGCGCGAUAAUCAUUAGCUGGAAUAACCGAGCGGGAAUUAAGGUCACCGGUCGAAGCGAAACGGCGAGCAACUUCGGCGAAUUCGGAUGAGCCUCGUUUCGCCAUCGGGUGCCCUGAAUUGCACCUUGUCUGUACACAGGUCGGACCGAGUCCCCUGCGUUGCCUCUGUAACGCGCAACCGCGAUUUUUAAUCGACGCGCACGUGUCCAUCGGGAUCAAUACAGCGGGACAGACCAUGCUGCAGCUGUCGGGACCGUAAUGAAGCAUUUAACAACUCCAAGCGGAUUAUUCGCUUAACAUUCUACAUGCAGCAAACGCCGAACAGUUUCAUCUUCUUCCAAACCCGAACCAUAUUCUGACACAUUUCUGCCGAAUUCAUGAAACAGCGUGAGCGGAAGCUCUGCAAGCUCUGGAAUUUCGAGCUGUUUUGUUUCUAUCUAUAUGAAAGCGGAGUUUGUUUUUUUAGAAUUCACGAGAGGAGAACGUAUUCGGCUAAUUGAUCCGUCGAGUGUAUGUGUGUCAGGCGCGUAGAGAACAGUAGCGGGAGAGACGUGUUCCACACAUGGUGGAGCAGAGGGGAAGGAAAAGCAGUCGCCAUGCUUUGGGCGGAGUCUGCGGGACAUUAAGCUCGUUCAUUGGACGAAGAACCGACUUGAUGCAUCAACUUGCACCACUAUGCUCCGGCCCAGUCGGCGCUUCCUUUCCCGUAUCCUUGCCUGGCGUCGCAACACUCGUGACUUGCGGCCGACCGCGACGCUUACAAGUUGUUGUCCUGGGCGCUGGAUGUCCUUCACUUAGCCAUGUCAAACCUUGACGAUAGCUGUGCUCUGGUUAUUCGCCUUUUGGAAUAAAGCGCUAAGAAAAUUCGUCUGCGAGAUGCUUUUGAUCCAUCGGUAGUUUCAGGUUCAAGAAAAUAAUUGCGAGGCCUGAGAGAAAAUUGUACGAUGUACGAAGAAUUUGUGAAGAAAGUUGGUAGGAAAGAUGGUAGGACCGGAAAGAAAUAGCGAAACUAGGAAAAGAUGGUAGAGCUCGAACAAAUACUAUAGGACGUAGAAAAAACGUGAGGCUAACGAGAAAAUUGUUCAGCAUAAGAAUCGUAAUCGGAACCGAGAUCGAGACAUAUGUAUAAACAGGGCCCGAUAUUCGAGCCAUUGAUCGUGAACAAAUAUUUCCUACACGAUAUAGGAGCGAUUCAGAGAAAUGGUCCGCGAUACGUGUAGCCGAUUAUGUAACACGAGACUACGUGAUUUAGGCAGGAUACUGAUAUCGGGCGUAUCGAAGCCUCGGGUUCUUUAUCCCCACGGAUAACGGUUACAAUUUUUAUGAACAAUGAAUGUACUUAUACAUAUUUCAAAUAUUAUUGUUCGCAGGCUGGACUCGAACGGAUGAUUGUCCGGUAAUAAGAUGAUUAAAUGAUUAAAUUGCCGUUUGAAAUUUGC
Molecule: long non-coding RNA, 3138 nt
Organism: Megalopta genalis
Lineage: Eukaryota; Metazoa; Arthropoda; Insecta; Hymenoptera; Halictidae
Source: RefSeq, a predicted model, not a curated record